GAGGAAAGCACGUCUAGUUCUUAUGAGCAUACUGAAAUUUCGGUAAGUUUUGCUUUCGUUAAUUAUUGUAGGCAAAGGAAAUCAACAGACAGCACAUACAGCAAUUCCAAUUGAGAUGUAAGACCUGAAUACUUUUGUACAAAAAGGAAAAGAACCUACUCAAGAUUGAAAUUACAUUAACGGUACCAAUUUUACUGCACCAGAUGCGCAUUUCGACAAUUAGUGUCUCUUCAGUUUUGCUCAAGACUGAACGUUUUGAAAAACCAAAAGCCUUAUGCAACGUUAAAGAGCAAAUAAUCAGUUAAGUCAAACAAAAAUACCAAAUCAGAUAUAUGCAAGAGCGAAAUACAUACCUAAAUCUAACAUGGUUUUAAAGUCAUUCUUGUAAUUUUUACCAUAAUGUUAUACGUUUUGAUACUUAACCUAUUAAGGGUAUUAAAUAACUAAAUGGUGAAGAACUUUCCUUUAAUUUUUUUUUUUUUAAAUAUUAUAUUUCUUUAGAGAAUGAUUGUAUUUUUCAUGUAGAUCCCAAUAAUGUGAGUUGGUUAAGGGUCCAAUUUGAUCAAAAUGAAAUAACUUUAAAAACUGAUCUUGUGAAAUAUUAUUAUAUAUAUAAUAAUAUUAUUAAUAUGGUUAUAUGGUUAAAACAGCAGAUCAGUGCAAAUGCAAAACACCGAGAAAUCACAAAUAUUUGUAGGUUGCUUGUCAUAGAUCCCCUUCUUUACCAGUGACAACUUACUGUUUGUUCAAUAUUAGGAAACACUCACCAAAUAUUAACGUUAUAGCAGGUAGUGGCAUUAUAAUGUAUAUGUAAUAACAUCAGAAUGCUUGUUAUUUUUAUAUUUCAAAUCGUUCAUUUAAAACAAUAUAACAAUUAUUAUAUUGAGACCAGUAAUAAAAAGCAGAAGAAAUAGAGUAAAUGCUUACCUCUACGAUGUGCAUUCAUAUGUUUGUUUCGAAAGAAACAUGUUUUCCAUAUAAAAUCAUACAUGUAAAAACACAGUUAAUGAAUAUACAUAUCAAUGUGUUUCUAUCACUAUAAAGUUCAAUUUUGUCAUUAACUAGGAACAAUAUCAGAAUUCCAGAGUUAGUGUGUUGUGCUCAUAUUAUUACGAAAUGGAAUUCAUCUUCCACCUCUUAAUGACAUAUGGGCACACUGUAUUUUCUGAAGGUGUUUUAUCUUAUCUACCACGUUUAAGAGCUAGCGUGCUGCUACUUAUUUCUAUUAUAGUAUAGUUUUUAAAAUAGUUUAAGUUUGAACUUUCCACAAAGUUUUCUAUAUGUUUCUAAAUUAUUUUAGAUAACGAAUUUUCAUUAUUAAAAAAAAAAAUAAAAAAAAAAAAGACCAUCAUUCCUGAAUGAAUUUAAAUUUUCAUCUAGCUUCUUUUUUUAAAAACAGACAGUGAUCGUGUUUUAAAGGGUAUUUAGAGAAUACAUUUUGAAGCAAAUCCUGCGGGUUUUCGCUAUAAACAUUAUCUAGUAAAGACUCUUUUGAGUUUAAAUCCUAUAGAUUACUUUAGCGUAUUUAUAUAAGCGGUGAACUCAUAAACUUCGCAUUAUAAGUAGGUUGUAUGAGAAACGUGACGAGGAAAUAAUUCUUUAAAACUUUGUUGUUUAUGAUAUCAGUUCGAAAUAUAACAUAAAAACUAGUUUCAUUUUACAGAAAGUGAGUAUAAAAACAAUUUGCAUUUGAAAAAUAAGGAAAUGAAAAUAAAUAAUUUCUUUCAAUAUAAUUGGUUUUGUUGUUGUUCAAAUACUAUAAUUUCCGAACCAAGGAAGUACUUAUGCCUAUCCAUAUCCCCAUCUAUUUUUUUCUCUGGCGACCCAAGUUAUUCUCGGUUUCGAUAAACAGACUCGCACUCGAACUAAUGAAAGCUUUUAUAGAUUAAACAUACUGCGGGGGACAAUUUUAAUUAACUGCGCAACUAUAUGCAAUGUAAAGUUGCACAACAACAUAACUGACGAAAAAAAAAACCCGAAACAAUUUAUCAAAUAUGUCUAAGGAUUUUCUUUAAAGUUCAAGAAGCAAAUUAUAGUGAAUUGAAUGGUUUGUUUUCUACAGAUAAACCACGAUACCAGAUAUGCUACGAAGGGUUUUACAUGCUGCAUUGGUAAUGCCUUUUACAGCAGGAUUAGUAACGAAGAGGGAAAAUGGCGGAUUUUCGGUUCAUGAUGCAAGUAUAUCCGGACUUGUUCUCUUAACGACCCUAGUUAUAGCAGUUCUUGAAGUGAUGUUGAUAUUUCCAACCAAACAUUCUAGAUGGUUGAUGGUUGGAAUACUAGCUCUCGCCAUAUGUUUGUUAAUCGCUUGCAGCUUACUAGCUCACAUAAAAAGCGAUUGGAAGGUUUUUCAUAGACGACAAGUUACACACAAACUGAAAUUAGCGUUUCUGUGGCUCUUUUGCUUCGGAAAUAUCGUAUCACAGGCAAUGAAAUUAUCUCUUCAUAUUCAAUGUAAUAUUCAAUGUAAUAUACGUGAGUCGUUAUCACAGAAAGCAGUAUAUUAUAUAAUUACUUGGCUUUUCGAUCUUGGACAAACCAUAUUCAUUGUUUAUUUCUCACGAUUCAGAUUUGCAAAUAUUAAGUGUUUCUAUUAUAUACUGAUGUUUUUGUUUGUUGCAAAUAUUUCUUUGUGGACACAUAAAAAUGUAGACUUGUACUUUGAGGAGAAAAAUGACAUUCUAAAUAAAUCUGAACACCUAUGCAACAACGCAACAACUCUAUACAAAGCAGAAAAGAUACUUAAACCAUUCCUGGAUCCAGUGUUGCUUGAAUAUUGUCUGUUAAGUUUGAUAUUCAUUUCUCACAUGUGGCCAAAGCAGAAAGUGCCACUUGAUACAAUGCAUUUAUUAGAUUCUGCCUCGUUUUCUCAGGAAAAUGGAGAACAUUUCUCACUUUUAUCGGGACAUAUAACAGCUUGUAACAGACAUAUGAAUAGGAAAUCGAAGUGUAUAGUCGGACUAGGUAUAUUAUUUUGUUUAUCCUUCAUCAUAAUCCAGUGUAUUUUAAUGUACAUCCCAAAGUAUAACCAAGCUGGUGGUCCGAAUACAUACUAUCUUGUCGGGAACAUUUUACGAGUACCACUCACAAUCAAGUGUUUUCAUGCAUUAGCUGGAGAACUACAACCGAAGGAAAGGCCGCGGAAAAUAAUCAACAUUCAACAUUUUAUAAUCCUUUCAACAUCUCUUGCUACUUGUGGUUAUUAUAUUCUGGAAAGUCUUGGAAGUCGUAAUCGCCCACAGUUUCACGACAUCAGAAUCCAUCUGAAUACAGUUGUUAGAGUAAUUGUCACGAUUUUACAGACAACUUUUAUCCUACAGAUGAAACAAUAUCGGAAGUUCAGCAGUUCUAAUUCUGUAUUAUCAAUCAGAAACAUUUUUCUUGUAAUGUGUUUUGUAAAUUUCAACACUUGGUUUUCGUAUACAUUUAUUUCUGUACCUUACCAUGCUUACAAUAAUCAACCAGUUUUUAACAGUAAUACUUGGCUGAAAUUUAAGCAUUUCUGGGUUCCGUUUGUUAUGUUUUAUCAUUUUGAAUGCUUUAUAAUGUUUUAUCAUUUUUACAAAGAAUGAAAUUUCACGAUUUGAAACAAAAUUUUAAGAAUAGUCUACAGUUUUAGGCAACAAUUUACAUUGUGUGUCCAAGCU
RNAcentral lists this long non-coding RNA (3647 nucleotides) under Mytilus galloprovincialis (Mediterranean mussel). The record is from RNAcentral. Lineage: Eukaryota; Metazoa; Mollusca; Bivalvia; Mytilida; Mytilidae.